RNAcentral lists this ribosomal RNA (460 nucleotides) under uncultured bacterium. Its description in RNAcentral is "partial 16S ribosomal RNA". It matches the Rfam family "Bacterial small subunit ribosomal RNA", at positions 338 to 795 of the family's 1533-position model. The record is from RNAcentral.
CCUACGGGAGGCAGCAGUGAGGAAUUUUGGUCAAUGGGCGCGAGCCUGAACGAGUAAAGCAGCGUGAAGGAUGAAUGCCCUACGGGUUGUAAACUUCUUUUAUAAAGGAAUACAGUGAGGCACGUGUGCAUUUUUGUAUGUACUUUAUGAAUAAGGAUCGGCUAACUCUGUGUCAGCAGCCGCGGUAAUACGGAGGAUCCGAGCGGUAGCCGGAUUUAUUGGGUUUAAAGGGAGCGUAGAUGGGUUGUUAAGUCAGUUGUGAAAGUUUGCGGCUCAAACGUAAAAUUGCAAUGGAUACUGGCAGCCUUGAGUGCAGUUGAGGUAGGCGGAAUUCGAGGUGUAGCGGUGAAAUGCGUAGAUAUAACGGAGAACUCCGAUGGCGAAGGCAGCUCACUAAACUGCCACUGACAUUGAUGCUCGAAAGUGUGGGUAGCAAACAGGAUUAGAUACCCCAGUAGUC